UUACGACCAUAUCACGUUGAAACAUCGGUUCUCGUACGAUCACCGGUUAAGCAACGUUGAACCUUGCCAGUAUCUAGAUGGGUGACCGCUUGAGAAUACCAGGAGCUGUAAG
Non-coding RNA from Acanthosepion pharaonis, 112 nucleotides. Lineage: Eukaryota; Metazoa; Mollusca; Cephalopoda; Sepiida; Sepiidae. The record is from the annotation of a GenBank genome assembly.